CGCGUCGUGGUGUAAUCCAGGAAACACGCUCUCAAUGAAUGAGGGAAUAGUGGGUUCAAAUCCCACCGGCGCGGC
Molecule: transfer RNA, 75 nt
Filed under: Pirellula sp. SH-Sr6A
Lineage: Bacteria; Pseudomonadati; Planctomycetota; Planctomycetia; Pirellulales; Pirellulaceae
Description: tRNA-Ser
Rfam family: tRNA
About the family: Transfer RNA (tRNA) molecules are approximately 80 nucleotides in length.
Source: RNAcentral